GGGGUUGUAGCGCAGUGGUAGCGCGUCUGCUUCGCAUGCAGAAGGCCUUGGGUUCGAUCUCCAACUGCUCCA
Polyrhizophydium stewartii is the source of this 72-nucleotide non-coding RNA. The record is from the annotation of a GenBank genome assembly. Lineage: Eukaryota; Fungi; Chytridiomycota; Chytridiomycetes; Rhizophydiales.